This is a long non-coding RNA of Oncorhynchus tshawytscha (Chinook salmon), 415 nucleotides long. The record is from Ensembl. NCBI's taxonomy places the organism in Eukaryota, Metazoa, Chordata, Actinopteri, Salmoniformes, Salmonidae.
GUUUCUCCCUCCCUGAUGACAGCUGGGCCUGAGACAGAUGUAAACCCUGACCCUGCCCGGCACCCCAGGUUUCUCCCUCCCUGAUGACAGCUGGGCCUGAGACAGAUGUAAACCCUGACCCUUCCCUACACCCCAGGUUUCUCCCUCCCUGAUGACAGCUGGGCCUGAGACAGAUGUAAACCCUGACCCUGAACGGCACCCCAGGUUUCUCCCUCCCUGUUGACAGCUGGGCCUGAGACAGAUGUAAACCCUGACCCUGACCGGCACCCCAGGUUUCUCCCUCCCUGUUGACAGCUGGGCCUGAGACAGAUGUAAACCCUGACCCUGCCCUACACCCCAGGUUUCUCCCUCCCUGAUGACAGCUGGGCCUGAGACAGAUGUAAACUCUGACCCUGCCCUACACCCCAGGUUUCUC